This 373-nucleotide unclassified non-coding RNA is filed under the name Hevea brasiliensis (rubber tree). Lineage: Eukaryota; Viridiplantae; Streptophyta; Magnoliopsida; Malpighiales; Euphorbiaceae. The record is from RNAcentral.
CAAAAUCCACCAACCCUUUAGUAUCCUUCACCAAAAUGCUCACAGAGUAAAACAGAAGUGAUUGAGAAACACAGUUAAUAUCAAAGGUAGCCACUACUUCCACUAAAUCGAACCUACUAUAGUAGUACUCUACACUGUGAUAUUCAAGAAAUCCAGAUUACUAAAAAUAACGUUGGACAAGCUUUUCCUUGCUAAAGAACUUAGCUCCAACUAUGUCAACCCAAAAGGUUCCUUGAGAAACGAAAAUGGUCCACUACAAUCUGAUCUGUGUUGCCUUCUGGGCCAAUACAGAACCAUUACCUCCCUUUCCUUAUAACCAAAAGCAAACACCCAAAUCAUCCCCUAGUUGAUGAUCGAAAAACACAAAGCAGCC